This 451-nucleotide ribosomal RNA is filed under the name Nematoda environmental sample. RNAcentral describes it as "SSU rRNA". It matches the Rfam family "Eukaryotic small subunit ribosomal RNA", at positions 432 to 886 of the family's 1831-position model. The record is from RNAcentral. Lineage: Eukaryota; Metazoa; Nematoda.
GCGCGCAAUUACCCACUCUCAGAACAUUGAGGAGGUAGUGACGAAAAAUAACGAGACCGUUCUCUACGAGGCCGGUCAUCGGAAUGGGUACAAUCUAAACCCUUUAACGAGUAUCUAUGAGAGGGCAAGUCUGGUGCCAGCAGCCGCGGUAAUUCCAGCUCUCAAAAUGCAUAGAAUUAUUGCUGCGGUUAAAAAGCUCGUAGUUGGAUCUGUGCCAGGGAGUCGGUCGUACCUUCGGGUGCGUACUGCUAACCCGGGCUUUACUUGCCGGUUUUCUCCUCGUCGGUCUUAAUCGACUGCGGGGGGUGGCUGGCGAUUUUACUUUGAACAAAUCAGAGUGCUUAACACAGGCGUUUCGCUUGAAUGUUCUUGCAUGGAAUAAUAGAAAAGGAUUUCGGUUCUAUUUUAUUGGUUUUAUAGACUGAGAUAAUGGUUAACAGAGACAAACGGG